UUGUAAAUUUCGGUUCGGUUUUACGAUAAAUUUUGGUUUGGUUCGGUAACUUACACCCCUACUUAUACACAUGCAUUGUGUAACAUCUCAUUCUUCGUGACAUGAAAAGAUAACAGAACUUGUUCUUUGUUUGAAGCUACGGCUUUCGCCCAUUCUUUGAGCUUCGCUUUCAUCCACACUGAUGGACACAUUGCACUCAGCUUGAAGUUGCAAUGGAGGAGGAAGAGGAGUGUGUUGUGAGCUAGCUAUGUUGAUCACCCCAUUCCUCUAAAUUGGUGUCACAUCCUUUGUAAUCGACACCUGCCAUAGCAAAAGCUUCU
This 320-nucleotide long non-coding RNA is filed under the name Arachis ipaensis. Its description in RNAcentral is "long non-coding RNA (AIPA_LNC002421)". Lineage: Eukaryota; Viridiplantae; Streptophyta; Magnoliopsida; Fabales; Fabaceae. The record is from RNAcentral.